Pongo pygmaeus (Bornean orangutan) is the source of this 664-nucleotide long non-coding RNA. RefSeq lists it as uncharacterized. The transcript has 3 exons. The record is from RefSeq and is a predicted model, not a curated record. NCBI's taxonomy places the organism in Eukaryota, Metazoa, Chordata, Mammalia, Primates, Hominidae.
GAUGGUGAGAGCCAGCCCGGGGAGAUGCAGUUCUUGCCCUUGAGUCCGUUGGCUUAACUCUGAAAGGCGACCUGGAGCAGUGGUACCAUUCCUCGGGCAAUCAUCUCCUGCAUCCUGCCCUCCUCAUAAGACCCUAGGACACUGCGGUUCUCUAGGACACUGCAGAUCCCUGAACACCUUGGGGGCCACCAACAAGGGAGGAAAUGACAUGGGAAGAAUGUCAAUGCACAUGUUCGUCCACUGUCCCUCCCACCUCCGGUCCUCAUCACGCAGAGCGGACCCUGUGGUCCACGACUGGCAUCUGGGCUCUGCUUUCCUAUUGCAGAGACCCCUGUGAGCACCCGCCACACCCAGGCCCUGUGCAGCACUCUGCUGUGUAACAGGAACAGGCAGGCAGAGUCCCUGCUCUCAAGGACUCACCUUUAAGGACUGCAUGGGAGACAACAAAAUUAAAAAUAGAGAACAAAAUAGAUGGCAGAGUGCAACGUGCUGUGAUGUCCAUGAGCAGAGGGAAGGAGAGGCACAGAGGCAAAGGGACAGCCGCUUCGUCACAGGCGACCAGAAGCAUUCGUGUGAUGUUCCGCAGUUUCUUCAAUCCCAUUUCAUUUUCUUUUUCUUCCAUCAUAUUUAAGCAAAAUUAAAUUUAUUAUGCUGUAGUUGAAAA